UACGUAGGUGGCAAGCGUUGUCCGGAUUUAUUGGGUUUAAAGGGUGCGUAGGCGGUCCUAUAAGUCAGUGCUGAAAUAUCCCGGCUUAACCGGGAGGGUGGCAUUGAUACUGCAGGACUUGAGUAAAGUUGAGGUAGGCGGAAUUGACGGUGUAGCGGUGAAAUGCUUAGAUAUCGUCAAGAACACCGAUAGUGAAGACAGCUUACUAAACUUUAACUGACGCUGAGGCACGAAAGUGUGGGGAUCAAACAGG
This 253-nucleotide ribosomal RNA is filed under the name uncultured bacterium. Its description in RNAcentral is "partial 16S ribosomal RNA". It matches the Rfam family "Bacterial small subunit ribosomal RNA", at positions 524 to 776 of the family's 1533-position model. The record is from RNAcentral.